This 68-nucleotide transfer RNA is filed under the name Capnia zijinshana. RNAcentral describes it as "tRNA-Trp". Lineage: Eukaryota; Metazoa; Arthropoda; Insecta; Plecoptera; Capniidae. The record is from RNAcentral.
AAGGCUUUAAGUUAAAUAAACUAAUAGCCUUCAAAGCUAUAAAUAGGGCAAAUACGCUUUAAGCCUUA